RNAcentral lists this ribosomal RNA (425 nucleotides) under uncultured bacterium. Its description in RNAcentral is "bacterial SSU rRNA". It matches the Rfam family "Bacterial small subunit ribosomal RNA", at positions 354 to 796 of the family's 1533-position model. The record is from RNAcentral.
GUUAGGAAUAUUGGACAAUGGGCGCAAGCCUGAUCCAGCCAUGCCGCGUGAGUGAUGAAGGCCUUCGGGUUGUAAAGCUCUUUAGCCGAUGAUUAUAAUGACUGUAGUCGGAAAAUAAGCCCCGGCUAACUUCGUGCCAGCAGCCGCGGUAAUACGAAGGGGGCGAGCGUUAUUCGGAAUCACUGGGCGUAAAGCGUGCGUAGGCGGCUUUGCACGUUGGGAGUGAAAGCCCAGGGCUCAACCCUGGAAUUGCUCUCAAAACUGCAAGGCUCGAAUUCGGGAGAGGAUAGCGGAAUUGUCAGUGUAGCAGUGAAAUGCGUAGAUAUUGACAGGAACACCAGUGGCGUAAGCGGCUAUCUGGACCGAUAUUGACGCUGAGGCACGAAAGCGUGGGGAUCAAACAGGAUUAGAUACCCUAGUAGUCC